This is a long non-coding RNA of Epinephelus moara (kelp grouper), 385 nucleotides long. RefSeq lists it as uncharacterized. NCBI's taxonomy places the organism in Eukaryota, Metazoa, Chordata, Actinopteri, Perciformes, Serranidae. The transcript has 3 exons. The record is from RefSeq and is a predicted model, not a curated record.
UUACCCUACUCGAAAGCUUAACUUAGUGUUAUCUAAAAGACUUAAAGUGUCAUGGCUAAUUUUGACAACGUGAAAAGACCGCGAGAUUUCAAAGCGAGACUUCGUUAGCGUUGAAAACAGAACCUCGAAAGGACAUGCACCAGGAAAAACCCUCCAAAAUGAGAAAAUCUAUUGUGUUUAAAAGCAAGUUGACGGCUCUAUUCGAGCAGUACCCAGUAUGCCUGAGGAGGUGGACCAGCCAGCCACAUGUCAACCUCUUGAACAAGUUCCUGCUGCUAACCAUCAAGCUGCCGCCGCUGUGCUCUCCAUGGGGUCAUCUUUUGUAAGGUCUAAAUGCAACUGGAGAACUGUGGUGAACAGACAACUGUCAAAACAAGUGCGGUGG